Molecule: ribosomal RNA, 254 nt
Filed under: uncultured bacterium
Lineage: Bacteria
Description: partial 16S ribosomal RNA
Rfam family: Bacterial small subunit ribosomal RNA
Source: RNAcentral
UACGUAGGGUGCAAGCGUUGUCCGGAAUUAUUGGGCGUAAAGAGCUCGUAGGCGGUCUGUCACGUCGGCUGUGAAAACCCGAGGCUCAACCUCGGGCCUGCAGUCGAUACGGGCAGACUAGAGUUCGGUAGGGGAGACUGGAAUUCCUGGUGUAGCGGUGAAAUGCGCAGAUAUCAGGAGGAACACCGGUGGCGAAGGCGGGUCUCGUGGGCCGAUAUUGACGCUGAGGAGCGAAAGCGUGGGGAGCGAACAGG